CACCGAUUCAACCGUCUCCUGCUCCGGUCAGUUACUACAAAAUGGCUGCAGAGGCUCCGCCGCCGAUGAGAACCUACUGAACGCUUCAUGCUGUGAAAAGAAGCAAAAAAAAACACGAGAAGAGAACCAUUUGAUGGAAGAUAAGAAAAAGAAAAAGCAAGACGAGAAGAAAAAGAAAGAAGCUGCUCAAAAAAAGGCCACAGAACAGAUAACCAAAGCUGAAGACAUUAGCGGCAGCCAGGUGGUCUACCUGAGCCAGGAUGGAAGCCAGGUGCCGUGCUGGACUAAUAAGGAGCAUGGGGAUGGUGCAGCUGCUCCUCGGGCCUCCCCAUGGGCUCCUCAGGCGUACCUAGGAGGGUAGAGGUGAGGAGGACUCUCAGAAGAAAAGAGAGCGGAGCGAAAUGACCGACAAACAACCCCGACGUCUGAAUAAAGGUGGA
Molecule: long non-coding RNA, 440 nt
Organism: Amphiprion ocellaris (clown anemonefish)
Lineage: Eukaryota; Metazoa; Chordata; Actinopteri; Pomacentridae
Source: Ensembl